This 319-nucleotide ribosomal RNA is filed under the name uncultured eukaryote. RNAcentral's name for it is "partial 18S ribosomal RNA". It matches the Rfam family "Eukaryotic small subunit ribosomal RNA", at positions 1470 to 1796 of the family's 1831-position model. The record is from RNAcentral.
CCCUUAGAUGUUCUGGGCAGCACGCGCGCUACAAUGGUCUUCGCAAACGGAUGCAUUCUCGAAGGAGAAUGCCAAUCUUGGAAUCUAUGCCUUGGUCGGGACAGUUGCUUGCAAUUUUUCGACUCGAACCAGGAAUUCCUUGUAAUCGUGAUUCAUCACAUCACGAUGAAUACGUCCCUGCCCUUUGUACACACCGCCCGUCGCUCCUACCGAUCGAAGAGUUAGGUGAAUUGUUUUGAUCGAUAAGAUUUGACAAUGGUCAACUCUCGUUGUGAAAUUCUGUGAAUCUGACUGUUUAGAGGAAGGAAAAGUCGUAACA